UUUCUCUGGAGGAUCUCCGCGCGUGGCGAGUCUGUGUCCUCCCUGUCCCCCAGAGCAGACACCCUCUCUGUGUCUGGACCGGGGAGGAGCAGACGCUGGACAGGUUUCUGGUAGAAUGCUGGCAAUUUCCAGGAAGAUACGUGGAGAACGGAAAGGUUGCUACACCCAAAUAGUGAAGCAAAGGCUAUGAUUAUGGAGGAUUGGACCUGCAAACUCCAGAACAGAGCAACCUUGUAAAAUGUGUGUGGGCAGCACAGAGAACUUGGGCAAGUUAACAGUUUCCUCAUCUGUGAAUACUGAUUUAUGGAAAGCACCUGGUGCGUGGGUUUUUUGGUCCCAGGGAACCUCGUUUUCAGAGCAGUGGCUCACGCAGAUCCUGAGCCCAGUUAAUGGUCAUACCUUUCCCUGAGUUUAUGUUCAUUCUAUCCUCUGAGAUUAUCUUUGAAGUCUCAUUACAUA
This 459-nucleotide long non-coding RNA is filed under the name Homo sapiens (human). Its description in RNAcentral is "non-protein coding lnc-TRIM16-1:8". The record is from RNAcentral. Lineage: Eukaryota; Metazoa; Chordata; Mammalia; Primates; Hominidae.